This 36-nucleotide transfer RNA is filed under the name Porana velutina. RNAcentral's name for it is "partial tRNA-Phe". The record is from RNAcentral. Lineage: Eukaryota; Viridiplantae; Streptophyta; Magnoliopsida; Solanales; Convolvulaceae.
CCGGGAUAGCUCAGCUGGUAGAGCAGAGGACUGAAA